AAGCGAGGCAGGGAGGGAAGGAGGGAAGGAGGCGGUGCUGGGGCGGUGAUCGGCCCCGGUCGGCCGGGAAUCGAGUCCGGCCGCUCCGCCCUCCGCGGCCGGGGCGCUGCGGACAAGGCGCGUCCGCCUCAGGGGCGGCGGGAGAACGGCCGGGCCCGUGAGGGCUGAGGAGGAGGAGGUCUUUCGUGCUUCCAUAAGGACAAUAGUUUCUUUGGCUGAAACAUCCUGUCCAGAGGGUUACAAUAAAACACUUUGCACUUGAAUUGUUUGCCUUCCUGACCCCUCAGCUUUCUGCCAGCUUCUGACUGUGCCUGCAACUCCAAAGCUCUGCAGCCAUCCCUACCAGCAACAGCAAGUUCCUGCUCCUGUCAGUUAAAAGCCUGUUUACCUUUGAACUCAGUGGGAACAAGAACCGGGCCCUUGUGCAACUGUGGGAAAUAAUUGACUGCAGUAACAUUUCCAUCAGCCCUGUGAGUUGAUUUGAACCAGAUUACUCAGGAAACUCAAAAGCCCGAUGCAAGGUUUUUAUGAUGGCUUUUUCCAAGGCAAAAAUCCAUGGACUGGCUUCAUACCACCAGCACAGUUUAGGUUUUCCAUUGUGAGACUGAUGCUACCCUUGAGCCUGAAAAUGGCUGGCAAGAGACUUCUGGGUGCCCGGAGGAGACUGUCACAGCAGUGCCUGUGGGGAGAUGCUGGAGUCACUCAGGCACAGCAAGUCCUUCUCUGAGCCAACUGAUCCUUGGCAGGUUGCAAACAGAGCAAAACUGUGAGUAACUACCCUCAGAAUGGAAAAGGGAGAUGAUAUCAGUUCACUUUGGUUGCAUUUCCAUCAGUGUUUAUCAAGGGAAAGUACUCCUGGGUGAAAGGGAACAUCACAUACGGGGCGUUCAGGAAAUCACCACCAAAGCUGAACGUGGAUGAAAAUUUAAUGGGGCUUGUAGAUUAUAACUGGUGUCUUUCAUGACCACCAUGGAACACCCAGGGAAGUCAUGUGAUGGGAAAUUAAGUUUACAACCCCAGUCCACUCGAGUGGAUGGAGCCUCCUCAUGUAUUAUGCUCUAAAUGCAAUUAAGAGUUCUGUGUACAGGAAGUCUCUUAGCAAUUAAAUGUUCUGCUUGAGCUUGGGAUCAGGAGUGUACUCAGAUGUAACUGUUGAGCUGGAGGAGGUAAGACCAAAAGCAA
Lepidothrix coronata (blue-crowned manakin) is the source of this 1182-nucleotide long non-coding RNA. RefSeq lists it as uncharacterized. The record is from RefSeq and is a predicted model, not a curated record. Lineage: Eukaryota; Metazoa; Chordata; Aves; Passeriformes; Pipridae. The transcript is spliced from 5 exons.